AUUGAACGCUGGCGGAAUGCUUUACACAUGCAAGUCGAACGGCAGCACGGACUUCGGUCUGGUGGCGAGUGGCGAACGGGUGAGUAAUGUAUCGGAACGUGCCCAGUAGUGGGGGAUAACGUAGUGAAAAUUACGCUAAUACCGCAUACGCUCUAUGGAUGAAAGCGGGGGAUCGCAAGACCUCGCGCGAGUGGAGGGGCCGAUAUCAGAUUAGGUAGUUGGUGGGGUAAAGGCCCACCAAGCCAACGAUCUGUAGCUGGUCUGAGAGGACGACCAGCCAAGCUGGAACGGAGACACGGUCCAGACUCCUACGGGAGGCAGCAGUGGGGAAUUUGGGACAAUGGGCGAAAGCCUGAUCAAGCCAUUCCGCGUUCAGGAUGAAGGCCCUCGGGUUGUAAACUGCUUUUGUACAGAACGAAAAGGUUUCUACUAAUACUAGGGGCUCAUGACGGUACUGUAAGAAUAAGCACCGGCUAACUACGUGCCAGCCGCCGCCGUAA
This 500-nucleotide ribosomal RNA is filed under the name uncultured bacterium. RNAcentral's name for it is "partial 16S ribosomal RNA". It matches the Rfam family "Bacterial small subunit ribosomal RNA", at positions 30 to 523 of the family's 1533-position model. The record is from RNAcentral.